Molecule: long non-coding RNA, 888 nt
Organism: Mauremys reevesii (Reeves's turtle)
Lineage: Eukaryota; Metazoa; Chordata; Testudines; Geoemydidae
Exons: 3
Source: RefSeq, a predicted model, not a curated record
CACGGGACAUAUGAUAUUGGAAUUCAAGAAUUGAUGAGAAAUCACUGGAAAAUACAUUCCUGUAGAACACUGUCAAAAAAAUGAGGACUUAUGUAAAAGGGAAAACUGGCCAGCAAUCAGAAUCUUUUCACCUUUUUCAUGAAGACAACUGACUGAGAUAGUGCCUUUGAAUUGUACUGCAGAAAUAUAUGGAUAUUAUUAUUAGACACACCAGCACUGCAGUGUAUGCACAGGACAAUGGACUGAUGAGCACUUCAAAACAAAUAUGCCUGAAGACCUUGAAAACAGAACAGUGCCUGUGUGUCCAGAUGAUGCAUACCAACUGUCAACAAGGAUAGCAUUUGCCUAACAGUGAGCUGGAGAGGGGAGUGAUCUCUCUGUGACCACAGAGAGAAGACCUGAAGUCAGGCAUACAUACGUUGGAGCACCAGAAAGUCCAAGAUGUGAUUGCACAAGAUUUGUGAAAAUUUGCCUAUGAAUGUACAUACAUUUGCUUAAUCAUGGCACAGAGGAAAAUUAAUACUACGAGCUUGAUGCAGAAAUUAUUAGGUCAGAAAUUCCCUGACCUAUAUUAUGCAGGAGGUCAAGUUAGGUCAUCAUAGGGUCCCUUCUGGUCUUAAAAUCUAACGAACUUAUUGUUCGGAGCAGGUAGACACAUUUCACUUUUGGCAUCUUCAGGGACACCUCCUUCUCUUACUAUGAGGGCUUAACCUGGCUUCCAGUUCCUUUUGGUUAUGUGGUUACCAAUUGUCUUUGUGCACUUAGUGCAGAGAUACGUUUAGUUUGGUUCAUGUGGUUGAUACAAGGGAAUUGAGAUACCAGUGAAAAUAACACAUCUCCUUUUGUAAAAGAGAGAGAUCCUUACUAUAUGUCAGGCCAAAUAUGAAA